AAAUCCUGUUGAUCCUGCAGGAGGUUGCUGCUAUGGGGAUACGAAUAAGCCAUGCAAGUCAGGUAUUCGCAAGAAUGCCGGCGUAAGGCUCAGUAACACGUUGAUAAUCUACCCUUAGGUCGAGGAUAACGAUGGGAAACUGUCCCUAAAACUCGAUAGAAGAUUGAUACUGGAACGUACUUUCUUUUAAACGCAAGGCCUAAGGAUGAG
This 210-nucleotide ribosomal RNA is filed under the name Candidatus Woesearchaeota archaeon. RNAcentral's name for it is "partial 16S ribosomal RNA". It matches the Rfam family "Archaeal small subunit ribosomal RNA", at positions 1 to 213 of the family's 1478-position model. Lineage: Archaea; Nanobdellati; Candidatus Woesearchaeota. The record is from RNAcentral.